CCACAGUUUCUAUGUAACCGCGCUAUAGACAGGCGCGUUGCCUUCGCGUCUUGCGACUUUUGUAACGGCUCUUGCAUGACGUGGUGUUCUAAAAACGCGGCUAAAAGAAGCUCAAUUUUUAAACUUAUCGUUCACACAGCAGCUCGCAAACAGCGGUUAUUCGCGUCGCGGAAAACGAUGCAAGUCCCCAUUGUUUAUUUUCGCGCUUAAAACUGACGGGAGCAACAACUGUGGUGGAAGACUGGAUUUAAACUCGUCGAUUAAUAUCCCAGCUGAGGUCAUUGGUUUGGUCCCUUCAAGACAUGGUUACGGCUUUGAUGUCCAGUAUAAUUCCAGUCACACGAAUUGUGUGUGAUUGGAAGCGUAAAUUCAGGAAUGACAACUGUAUUCUGCUGCUGUGUCAAAAUGUGGCCUCUCAGAAAGAUGAAGAAGGUCUAAUUCAGUGCAUUCGAAGACCAACCCAUGACUUCAACUGCUUUCCAAAAUCCAUCGUUAAUAGAAAAAUGUCAAAACGGUUCAUUUUGAAAUACUAUUUAUGAUUCAGCUGUGUUGAAAUUUUUUGUGCAUCUUAUAA
Long non-coding RNA from Labeo rohita (rohu), 574 nucleotides. RefSeq lists it as uncharacterized. The record is from RefSeq and is a predicted model, not a curated record. NCBI's taxonomy places the organism in Eukaryota, Metazoa, Chordata, Actinopteri, Cypriniformes, Cyprinidae. The transcript is spliced from 3 exons.